This 253-nucleotide ribosomal RNA is filed under the name uncultured bacterium. RNAcentral describes it as "partial 16S ribosomal RNA". It matches the Rfam family "Bacterial small subunit ribosomal RNA", at positions 524 to 776 of the family's 1533-position model. The record is from RNAcentral.
UACAGAGGAUGCAAGCGUUAUCCGGAAUGAUUGGGCGUAAAGCGUCUGUAGGUGGCUUUUUAAGUCCGCCGUCAAAUCCCAGGGCUCAACUCUGGACAGGCGGUGGAAACUACCAAGCUGGAGUACGGUAGGGGCAGAGGGAAUUUCCGGUGGAGCGGUGAAAUGCGUAGAUAUUGGGAGGAAUACCAGUGGCGAAGGCGGCUCCCUGGACCGGUACUGACGCUGAGGGGCGAAAGCGUGGGGAGCGAACGGG